AGCUUGCUCUUGGGUGACGAGUGGCGGACGGGUGAGUAAUGUCUGGGGAUCUGCCCGAUAGAGGGGGAUAACCACUGGAAACGGUGGCUAAUACCGCAUAACGUCGCAAGACCAAAGAGGGGGACCUUCGGGCCUCUCACUAUCGGAUGAACCCAGAUGGGAUUAGCUAGUAGGCGGGGUAAUGGCCCACCUAGGCGACGAUCCCUAGCUGGUCUGAGAGGAUGACCAGCCACACUGGAACUGAGACACGGUCCAGACUCCUACGGGAGGCAGCAGUGGGGAAUAUUGCACAAUGGGCGCAAGCCUGAUGCAGCCAUGCCGCGUGUAUGAAGAAGGCCUUCGGGUUGUAAAGUACUUUCAGCGGGGAGGAAGGCGAUGUGGUUAAUAACCGCGUCGAUUGACGUUACCCGCAGAAGAAGCACCGGCUAACUCCGUGCCAGCAGCCGCGGUAAUACGGAGGGUGCAAGCGUUAAUCGGAAUUACUGGGCGUAAAGCGCACGCAGGCGGUCUGUUAAGUCAGAUGUGAAAUCCCCGGGCUUAACCUGGGAACUGCAUUUGAAACUGGCAGGCUUGAGUCUCGUAGAGGGGGGUAGAAUUCCAGGUGUAGCGGUGAAAUGCGUAGAGAUCUGGAGGAAUACCGGUGGCGAAGGCGGCCCCCUGGACGAAGACUGACGCUCAGGUGCGAAAGCGU
RNAcentral lists this ribosomal RNA (691 nucleotides) under Pantoea sp. ZGTC-1-3-4. Its description in RNAcentral is "bacterial SSU rRNA". It matches the Rfam family "Bacterial small subunit ribosomal RNA", at positions 77 to 762 of the family's 1533-position model. The record is from RNAcentral. Lineage: Bacteria; Pseudomonadati; Pseudomonadota; Gammaproteobacteria; Enterobacterales; Erwiniaceae.